This 472-nucleotide ribosomal RNA is filed under the name uncultured bacterium. RNAcentral describes it as "bacterial SSU rRNA". It matches the Rfam family "Bacterial small subunit ribosomal RNA", at positions 355 to 825 of the family's 1533-position model. The record is from RNAcentral.
UGGGGAAUAUUGGACAAUGGGCGAAAGCCUGAUCCAGCCAUGCCGCGUGUGUGAAGAAGGUCUUCGGAUUGUAAAGCACUUUAAGUUGGGAGGAAGGGCAGUUACCUAAUACGUAUCUGUUUUGACGUUACCGACGGAAUAAGCACCGGCUAACUCUGUGCCAGCAGCCGCGGUAAUACAGAGGGUGCAAGCGUUAAUCGGAAUUACUGGGCGUAAAGCGCGCGUAGGUGGUUUGUUAAGUUGGAUGUGAAAGCCCCGGGCUCAACCUGGGAACUGCAUCCAAAACUGGCAAGCUAGAGUACGGUAGAGGGUGGUGGAAUUUCCUGUGUAGCGGUGAAAUGCGUAGAUAUAGGAAGGAACACCAGUGGCGAAGGCGACCACCUGGACUGAUACUGACACUGAGGUGCGAAAGCGUGGGGAGCAAACAGGAUUAGAUACCCGCGUAGUCCCUGAGCGGGCUGGCAAGGCGCAU